Asparagus officinalis (garden asparagus) is the source of this 735-nucleotide long non-coding RNA. RefSeq lists it as uncharacterized. The transcript has 4 exons. The record is from RefSeq and is a predicted model, not a curated record. Lineage: Eukaryota; Viridiplantae; Streptophyta; Magnoliopsida; Asparagales; Asparagaceae.
AGCCGAUACCGAUGAUGAUGGGUCAAGUGAAGGAUGAGAAAGUUGAAUUGAAGGGGGUAGCUCAGGCGGAAGUUAGGGCUAGAGUGGCUAGCAAUUUGGGGCAGGAUGAGAAGGAUAUGAAAGGGAUCCUUUUGAGUCCUGAAAGUAUCGGGGUUGUUAAGAAAGAGGAGAGAAGUUUGCCAGGAGGUGGGGAGAAGGGUCCUAGGUUACCAAAAUCAACUCAAGAUGAAUUGGUUUCUAGAGCAAAUUCCAGAUCCCUAUUCACAGGCUCACCAAGCAUAGCUAGAUUAAAUUCAUGAGCUGGAUUUAAUUUGGGCUGUAUACUUGAGGGCGAUAAAAGUUGAUGUCUUAUUCAGGGGAUUGUACAAGUUUUGCUGAAACCAUUGCAGAAUUUGGGAUGAGCACUUAAGGGCGAUAAAGUCGAUGUGUUAAUCAAGGGAUUGUAUAAGUUAGCAGAGAUGUUACAUGAAGCCUGCGACAUGAGAUCUCUUCUGUAAUAUUUUAGAUGUAUAGCCCUUUAGGUUACGAAUAUUAUUGUUAUAUUUCCAAUAUUGUUCAAUAUUUCAUGGGUAGAUGAUGGUUAACUUAGCGGAGGAGAUAUCCGGGAGAUAUCUGUCGACAUAAUUGAGUAGUAUUUUUGUGUUUGAUGCCAAAAAUUUGGAAUAAAGGUUUUGUUGAUGUGUUUUCUUUACUAUUAUAUAUUACCCCUUGCUGCUGUUGCGGUUCUUGUUUUCU